UAGCGUAGUUCGGAAUUACUGGGCUUAAAGAGUUCGUAGGUGGUUGAAAAAGUUGGUGGUGAAAUCCCAGAGCUUAACUCUGGAACUGCCAUCAAAACUUUUCAGCUAGAGUAUGAUAGAGGAAAGCAGAAUUUCUAGUGUAGAGGUGAAAUUCGUAGAUAUUAGAAAGAAUACCAAUUGCGAAGGCAGCUUUCUGGAUCAUUACUGACACUGAGGAACGAAAGCAUGGGUAGCGAAGAGGAUUAGAUACCCUCGUAGUCCAUGCCGUAAACGAUGUGUGUUAGACGUUGGAAAUUUAUUUUCAGUGUCGCAGCGAAAGCGAUAAACACACCGCCUGGGGAGUACGACCGCAAGGUUAAAACUCAAAUGAAUUGACGGGGACCCGCACAAGUAGUGGAGCAUGUGGUUUAAUUCGAAGAUACGCGCAGAACCUUACCAACACUUGACAUGUUCGUCGCGACUCUAAGAGAUUAGAGUUUUCGGUUCGGCCGGACGAAACACAGGUGCUGCAUGGCU
This 516-nucleotide ribosomal RNA is filed under the name uncultured bacterium. RNAcentral describes it as "bacterial SSU rRNA". It matches the Rfam family "Bacterial small subunit ribosomal RNA", at positions 536 to 1050 of the family's 1533-position model. The record is from RNAcentral.